UACGUAGGGGCUAGCGUUAUCCGGAAUCACUGGGCGUAAAGGGUGCGUAGGUGGUUUCUUAAGUCAGAGGUGAAAGGCUACGGCUCAACCGUAGUAAGCCUUUGAAACUGGGAAACUUGAGUGCAGGAGAGGAGAGUGGAAUUCCUAGUGUAGCGGUGAAAUGCGUAGAUAUUAGGAGGAACACCAGUUGCGAAGGCGGCUCUCUGGUCUGUAACUGACGCUGAGGCUCGAAAGCGUGGGGAGCAAACAGGAUUAGAUACCCUGGUAGUCCCUGA
Molecule: ribosomal RNA, 275 nt
Filed under: uncultured prokaryote
Description: partial 16S ribosomal RNA
Rfam family: Bacterial small subunit ribosomal RNA
Source: RNAcentral